RNAcentral lists this transfer RNA (33 nucleotides) under Crotalus ruber (red diamond rattlesnake). RNAcentral's name for it is "partial tRNA-Ser". The record is from RNAcentral. Lineage: Eukaryota; Metazoa; Chordata; Lepidosauria; Squamata; Viperidae.
CGAGAGGUCCAGAAGACCUGCUAACUCUUCAAU